This 410-nucleotide unclassified non-coding RNA is filed under the name Hevea brasiliensis (rubber tree). Lineage: Eukaryota; Viridiplantae; Streptophyta; Magnoliopsida; Malpighiales; Euphorbiaceae. The record is from RNAcentral.
GCUGCACAUCCUUGGCAUGGUCUUGAGAUCGGUAUGCAAAUAGAAGAUCAUAUUUUGUUAUGUUUGUAUUUACUUUUGCUUACAAGAGAGAUACUGAUGUUGCUGCAAAAUAAAUGUUGUCUGCAGGACCUGGAGCUCCCAACAUCUUCAAUGUUGUAUGUAUUUUCGCCACCUUUACAUAGUGAUGAAUAAGCUUAAACUGUUUGCGUCAAUGUAAAAAAGGUGGACCUGGUUUUUCAACCACCCAGCUCCGUUGCAAUGGCCAUAGGUGUAGACUGUAGCUGCACAUAAGUAGUCACAUUGGAAAGAACACAUUAGUUUAUCUGUAUGCAAAUUUAUGAGAAGAACCUUUAAAAAUAUUCAGCAAAUAAUUUCCAAGUUCUUAGCUGUCUGGUUGAAUUGAAUUGUUU